GGUAGGCGAAGAGAUCUGGCGUAACCUGCAUCAUCAUGCCUGCAGAAAACAGAAAGGACUUUUCAGACCUGGCAGAGUACAUCACCGAAGGGCUGGAAGUGCAUUUCGUGGAAAACUACAGCGAGAUCUACAAAAUCGUGUUCUCUGGACAAUAACGCGGAGUGUGGUUUUAUCUUUCGUUUUUAUCCCACAGAAGUAGCACGUAAAUGCUGCGCUGUGGCCUCUUGAUUUGUGAGAUGUGAAAGUCUGAGAUUCCUGAAACGUUUCAGACUCUGGGAUCCCGAAAGCCUCUAGUGAAGAUUUUAUAAUCACAUCCAAUUUCAUCACGAGUGUCAUAUUUGUAAAUAACUGCCUUAAUUGUACUCUCUCAAAUCAUUUACAUUAUAUAUAUAUUAUGGAA
Sinocyclocheilus grahami is the source of this 400-nucleotide long non-coding RNA. RefSeq lists it as uncharacterized. Lineage: Eukaryota; Metazoa; Chordata; Actinopteri; Cypriniformes; Cyprinidae. The transcript has 2 exons. The record is from RefSeq and is a predicted model, not a curated record.